Molecule: ribosomal RNA, 499 nt
Filed under: uncultured bacterium
Lineage: Bacteria
Description: partial 16S ribosomal RNA
Rfam family: Bacterial small subunit ribosomal RNA
Source: RNAcentral
GACGAACGCUGGCGGCGUGCUUAACACAUGCAAGUCGAACGGGCCCGCUCUCUUUUUUGGGGGUGGGUUGAGUGGCGAACGGGUGAGUAUCACGUGAGUAACCUGCCCCCUGCUCCUGGAUAACUGCUUGAAAGGGCGGCUAAUACGGGGUGUGCCGGCUGGUCCGCAUGGGCCUGGUCGGGAUAGUUUCAUCUUCGGGUGUUUCGGUGGGGGAUGGGCUCGCGGCCUAUCAGCUUGUUGGUGGGGUGAUGGCCCACCAAGGCGGUGACGGGUAGCCGGCCUGAGAAGGUAGGGGACCAAACCGGGACGGAGACACGGCCCACACUCCUGCGCGAGGCAGCAGUGGGGGGUAUUGAUAAAUGGGCGGAAGACUGAAGCAGCGGCGUCGAGUGAGGGACGGAUGCCUUCGGGUAGGGUACCUCUUUCUCCGGUGGUGAAGGCCCUGUUCGUUGCCGCGGGGUUGACGGUAGCCGGGGAUGAAGCGCCGGCUAACUACGUG